Molecule: RNA transcript, 10693 nt
Organism: Stegostoma tigrinum
Lineage: Eukaryota; Metazoa; Chordata; Chondrichthyes; Orectolobiformes; Stegostomatidae
Gene name: ankyrin repeat and SAM domain-containing protein 1A-like
Exons: 27
Source: RefSeq, a predicted model, not a curated record
GAGUGCGCUUGCGUUGCAUGCUGGCGGCGGGGAGAGUGGACGGGUUCGGUUCCUUUAGUGAAUCUGAGGCGACCCGGGGAAGGGAGGCUGGUUGCUAGCAAUGGGUAAGGAGCAGGAGCUGCUCGAAGCGGCGAGGACCGGCAAUGUAGCCGUGGUGGAGAAGCUGCUGAGCAGUAGGCAUCGGCUGUCGGCAGGCAGCGGUGGAACGGUGUCCCUGCCUCAGCUUUCCAACCUUCUCAGCAUUUGGAGAGGGCCAAAUGUUAACUGUGUUGACACCUCAGGUUACACUCCACUGCACCAUGCUGCUCUUAAUGGACAAAGGGAAGUUGUUGAAAUGCUACUGAAGAAUGAAGCUUCCACUAACAUCGCAGAUAACAAGGGGUGUUAUCCACUUCAUCUUGCUGCUUGGAAAGGAGAUUCACACAUAGUCAGGCUUCUUAUUCAUCAAGGACCAUCCCAUGCAAAAGUCAAUGAACAGAAUGCUAUUGAGAGCAAAGACCUCAAAAAGUAUGGCCCUUUUGACCCUUAUAUCAAUGCCAAGAACAAUGACAAUGAGACGGCCUUGCACUGUGCAGCACAGUAUGGUCACUCAGACGUUGUAAAAGUUCUUCUUGAGGAGCUCACAGAUCCUACAAUGAGAAACAACAAAUUUGAAACUCCGUUGGACUUGGCAGCAUUAUAUGGGAGGCUGGAGGUGGUGAAAAUGCUGUUAAAUGCCCACCCAAACCUAUUGAGCUGUAACACCAAGAAACACACACCACUUCACUUGGCAGCAAGAAAUGGACAAAAAGCAGUAGUAGAAGUUCUUUUGGAAGCAGGGAUGGACAUCAACUAUCAGACAGAGAAAGGCAGUGCACUUCAUGAAGCUGCUUUGUUUGGGAAGACUGAUGUGGUCCAGAUACUUCUAGCAUCUGAAAUUGAUGUGAAUAUUAAAGAUAUCCAAGGAAAGUCUGCACUGGAAAUUGUACGGGAGCAUCCAGCUCAGAAAAGCAAAGAGAUAGCAACUCUUAUUCAAGAUUACAUGGCAGGAAAAGAGAUCCUGAAGAGCACAGAAAGUACUGUUGUAUUGUCCAAAAUACCACCAAUUCGUAUCGUUGAGCAGUGUAAUAAAAAAUCUAAGGGUGAGGAACAAAUGGAAUUAACAAAACUUAUUACAGAAUUUGAAAGCCAGCCAAAUGAGGAAUGUCCAUAUGAGGCUUUGUGCAAUGCUACUUCACACUCUGUAGAAAGCUUGAGAGCAUCUGACAAAGAAACCAGUUCCAGCCAAGAAUUAAUCCAGGAUUCAGAUGUGAAGGAAACUCCGGAAAAGUUUGAAGAAGAUGAGAAUCCCUACGAGCUACUACUGACUGCGGAAACCAAGAAGUUAACAACUUUGGAUAUAUCCCAACAUGAAACAGAAAAUACAGAUGAGAAGGCUGGUCCUGAUUCUGUGUCUUCUGAAGUGGCAACCAAACCCAAUUGGAACUUCACCUCAUCUCAGGUUCCAGAUUUACUACCAACUGGUGACAUUCAGUCGGUCAGGAGUCAAGAGGUCCACUUGUCAUCUAGCAAUAAACCAAACCUUACACUUAAACUUAUGUCACCAUCUAUUAUUGUUACCCCAGAUCACAUGAAUAGUGAGGUUGAAUCUCAGGACAUCAACAUUCCUGAGCAGUUUUCGGGACUUCUGCAUGGGUCACCUCCAGUCUCUGAGAUUCAGAACGAUCCAGUCACUCUACUAGUUGCUUUGAGCAAAGGGGGAGUGGAAGCUGAAGCGAUGCAAAGCAGAGUCUUGCCAGAGAGGCAACACUGUGCAACAGGGCAGGCAGUGAACACUAACAUUAAGAACUCUGCAGCAGAUGUUGCUGAGCAAAAAGGGCAGCAAGUAAUCCAUAAUACAAUCCGUGACAUCCCCAUCAGCCAGGCGGAUCCUGCAAAUUCUAAGUCUGUUCAACGUGCUGUUCCAUUCAGCAAGGGAGUAGAAAGACGGACAUGUACUUCAGAAAGACCACGGCCCAGUGGAAAAGCUAAAGCUGACCUGAAAUUUGCAAGAACUUUGUCAAAAUCGGAUUCUGAGCUCAUUAUAUGUUCCCCAUCUGAGGAAGAUAUGCUGGGAAGUCGUAGUGAGUCUCUUUCAAACUGCAGUUCAGUGAAGAAACGAUUAGAAAAAUCGCCAUCCUUUCAGUCAGAAUGGGAGGAGCAGAAAUCUCUUCUUCCAAUGUCUAAUCCUCACAGAUCUAAGUCUGUGUGCAGUAUUGAGAAAAUAAUGAGUUCCAUUGGUGCAGGGAUUGACAGUGACUUCAGAAAAGAUCGACAUAAUGCUUCAGGUUCAAGGAUACUGGAGCAGAGUGUCGGGCAGUGGCUUGAAUCGAUUGGGAUGCAACAGUAUGAAAGUAAGCUGCUACUGAAUGGAUUCGAUGAUGUGCGCUUCAUGGGGGCCAACAUAAUGGAAGAGCAGGACUUGCGAGAACUUGGAAUUCAUGAAGCAGGACAUCGACGCAGGAUUCUUCAAGCUGCACGUUCACUUCCAAAGAUUAAACCAUUUGGUUUUGAUGGAAACAGCAAUACUUCAGUCGUAGCAUGGUUAGAAUCGCUUGGUCUACAGGAUUACAGUCAGACGUUUUUAUCCAGUGGAUACAAUUCAAUGGACAGUGUGAAAAACCUCUGGGAACUCGAAAUUGUAAACGUGCUGAAAAUAGCCUUGCUCGGUCAUCGGAAGCGAAUCUUAGCCUCUCUUGGAGACCGACCUUAUGAAGAACCACCUCAAAAGCCACCGCGAUUGUCCCAGCUGAAGGAUGAUCAGCGGGAGUCAAGAUUAACGCUUCGCCCACCAAGUUUAGCAACACCAUAUGCUCCUGUUCAGAACUGGCAGCACCAACCAGAGAAACUUAUCUUUGAAUCUUGUGGCUAUGAGGCUAAUUAUUUGGGUUCCAUGCUGAUUAAGGAACUGAAGGGGACUGAAUCAACACAAGAUGCUUGUGCAAAGAUGAGGAAAUCAACUGAACAAAUGAAAAAGAUUCCAACUAUUUUCCUCUCCAUCACAUACAAGGGUGUAAAAUUCAUUGAUGCCUUCAACAAGAAUAUUAUUGCUGAACAUGAAAUCCGCAAUAUUUCCUGUGCAGCCCAGGACCCUGAAGACCUCUGUACAUUUGCUUAUAUCACUAAAGACUUGCAGACAAAUCACCACUAUUGUCAUGUUUUCAGCACACUCGAUGUAAAUUUAACAUAUGAAAUCAUCCUCACACUAGGACAGGCAUUUGAAGUGGCCUACCAGCUUGCUUUACAAGCCCAGAAACCUGCUCAGAAGUCCUAUCUCACAGCUGAGCCAGAGUCAGAAGAAAUUAGGUCAUCUAAACCAAUUCCUAAACCACGAUCCAGCAUGAGAAAAUCUACUGUGCAGCCACCUAACAGCAGAUGCUAUUACUGUCACACGUGCACUACUCACAGGCCUUCGCAUCCGCUUCUCCCGCUUCAUGCGUUCAGCCAAGGAGUCCAGAUUGACUCUAUUGAGCAAGAUUCUCAAUCGCAUGGCAGUGUGGCGUGGAUAGCAGACUCUAAGCCGGACUCCAAGAGGACAAUCAGUACCAAGUAUGAAACCACCAUAUUCUGACCACCUGCUCCAGCUUCUACUCCGUGCCUUUGCACUGUGAAUCUAUUCCACCUCUCCGCUUCCUAAUGCGGGUACUCAAAAGCUGCUUUCACUCUCUUACCCAGAAGGAAACUUUUACUUGUGUUUCCUGUACCGUAUUGUGUUAUUCAACAAUAGCUGCCUUCAGACAUCUUGGGGAUCUUCUGCUACUUAAAAAGAAGCUCUGAAAAUUACUUGGAAGUCUUAUUCCAUGCCUGAACUUUUGAAAUACUCUAACUUGCCAACACUGUGAGCUGUUGCACUGUUAAUUCAUCCACCCAAAUGCUACUAAACGUUGCAUGCAUUGUUACUUGGACCCGUUGCAUCUCCUUUCAGAACAGCACAUCUCGGUAGAUACUAAUGGUUGGAUGUUUCUACCGAUGAAUCUAAUGUGCUUUUUAACACAUCGCGUUUUCUUUUAACUUUGUUCCUCAAACACUGAUUUAAGCAAUUUCUUAACUUGUGCCUCAUCCAAGCUGUCUUGUGGUUUGGUUAAUUCCAAACUGAGUGAAGAAGGAUGGAGUUAUGGUUUAGCCAAAUUGGCUUAAGUUAUUAAAAAUAAAACUUUAUUUGUGUUCUAAUUUUUCAGAGUUUCUACCAUACGAAAUGAAUCAAGAUUUCACCAGUUUUUUUUUUAUUGACCAAAAAAAGCUAAAAGACCACAAGCCAGUUUGGCUGCAAAAUUUUUUAAAAUAAUUUUUACUUCAGAAAUCAGCAUGUCUGAAACAAUCAGUGUUUUUAAGGAGGUUAUGGAAAUGCUUACUUUGAUACAUCGGUUUAGACAUGUGCCAUUUAACAUUUAUAAGUAAUCAAACUGAAGAGAUUCUCUACUUUUUCAAUUUAGAAUGGUCACAGAUAUUGCCAUUUCAGAGAUUACAUUGAGAUUAACUGUUGAACUCUAGUCUGUUUAUAACAGCUGCAUUUUUGACAUCUACUGUCAACUCACUUUAAUUCGAAAUUGUUUUAUCCAAAUAAUCUGAUUCUUUUUAUUGAGGCUAAGUUUCUACCUUAUUAUUCGUGCGCUAAAUUCAGGUUAUUGAAUCAUUUCAGAUUUUUUGAAACACAAAAUACUUCAAAACAUCUGUACUGCCACCAGAAUCAUAUGCAUUGGUUACUUGAAUAGAGCUCCUGUUCACUAAUUAUGUACACUGGACCUAUGCAAUUGCAUGUCUUCUGUCAGUGUGUGGUAUUAUUGAUUUAUUCCAUAUUUUGUUUACUUUUUCAGAAUUGUUGCACAUGAUAUUUUUUAAUGUUAAAAUCUGUUGUCAAACUUUUCAAUUGUGUUCUUUCCUUUUCUCUCUUUUUAUUUUGUGCUUAGAAGGUUUCACUUAUUGACUGAGCCGGGUUCUUUCAUUGUCCAUAAUUGAGGCUGUUAACAGCAAUAUUUCUUGCCUGCAGGGAUUCCAAAACCUUCAAACUAAUAACAAAUCAGUGAACAUCUGUGCAAUAAACCAAUAAUAACGCUUCUGUGCUAAAGGAGUGUCCACACUUAAAAUAUUAAUUUGUGCACUCUUAAUCGUGAUCCUGACUAUGCUACUUAGUACUACCAGCAUUUUCAGUUUUUGCUUGAUUUCCAGCAUCUUCACUGUUAUUUUUCAUUAUCGAAUGAAAUGUUGGGCAAAUUGAAAGAUAAAAUGAUGUUACAUUUCAGAAUUUGAGGAGUUCUUCCCAUUGUAACACCAUUUUGAAAAUAUUCUUUGUAUUGACUAUUCAUUUCUAAUGACAAGUAGAUUUUUAAAAGCAAUGCAUUAUUCAGCAACUUUUAGCACACUAUUUUGUACCGGCUUAAUAACAGUUACAGUUUGCAAUAAGUUUACCCUUUAAUGUAGUUAUUUUGUGACAAUAGUACCUUUCUGUAAACAAAGUGUCCACAGGCUUUAGCAUUAGUAUUAAGAGUACGCCGGAAGACCUCCAACUGAGUGCUCUUAGAUGUGGUGAUGCAUUCAAGUUGUCUUAUUGAUGGAAGGCUGUUGAAGGGAAUCAUUUCCAGCGUGGUGUUCGUUUUUGUACACAGUUAACACAACUAACAGAUUUACUAAUGUUUCAUUUACAAAAUAUGGUGAAAAUGUUUGCAGCAGAGGCAAGGCAAAGAAGAUUCUUGAACAAUUUCUAUCCUGCCUUUAGCACUGAGAUCAACCUAGUCAUUGCCAAAAACACCCUCUGUAGUUUGUGGUUCACUGCCUCUUAUUAAUGUCUGCAGAUGCCAAGAAUGUUGGCUGCUCCAUUUUUUCCCUAUCCUUACUUUUGUAGCCAGAUAUAUAUACCUGUUAGAUAACAAUAUAAUGUGCGGUUUUUUGAUAACACUAUCAUUCUGCUGUCCUUUUUGACUGCCUGCGUAACAUAACCAAAAUCAUUUCAUAUUCAGCAAAAUAAAGCAAUUCAUUUUGGAUUUUGCUAGCUAUAACUUUUGUACUGACCCCAGCUGUCUGUUCUGGCUGAAUCUGCUGUCCAAGCUGGAAUUGAUCACUAUAAUCUGCUGCAUCAUCAUCCUCUGAUCUGUUAAAUAUUGUCAUCACUGACAUAUGUACACACAUCCAUACCACACUCUCUUCCCCCCCUAAAAAACAAAACUAAUCCGUAAGUCUAAGGUCCCUAGCCUUUCCAGCAAAAUAUUUCAUAAAUCCAUCAGGCCAGGAUGUUUAUAAUACAAGUUAUUUUCUUGGUCCUCAUUCUACUUUGGAUUUAAUUUUGUCUGUUUGGACCAUAUUUGAGUGAUUUUCUGUACCCAUAUUUUAAACAACUGGUUAAUUUUCCCUAAUUCUAGAUUAUGGCCCAUUCCACUCUGUUAUCAGAAAAUAAUUUUUCGUUCAGCACAAUUCUGGACUCUAGAAUUCAAAACCUCCCUGCAUUUUUGAAACCACUUUAAAAAUUCAGCUCCAUCACUGUACAUCUGGUUCUGUCUUCAACCAAUCUGUGCUUAUUGCUCAUUUCUCUGCUUUGUCAAACACUUUUAAGAUAUUCUUUGCAUGAGUGGAGCUACAAAUGUCAUAUCUGUUGAUUUUUUUUUGCCACAAUGUUUUGGUGUCUAUAAAUCACUGAACCUUCUGUUGCAUCCCUGAAAAUUGGAUAUUGAAUUCUGACUGGAUUGUGGUGUUUCAGAAAUGUAACCUUGCACAACCUCACCGAGGGAAUCACAUACAAAUUGUCGAAUAAUCAAACUAUGCUUUGCUAACAGAGGAUAUCUUGAAGUAAUAUAUAGAUCAGGAUUUACCAAAUGUUUGAAUUCAAUAAUAUCCCAGCUAAACAAUCAGUUUGUACAUUAUAAUGUGACUCAGAUAAUUAACUAGUUGGAGUUGUUUUUGUGAGAAUUUAGAAGUAAUUGAAAAAACUGUGGAUGCUAUAAAUCAGAAAUAGAAACUGAAAUUGCUGGUAAAGCUUAGCAGAUCUGGCACCAUCUUUGGAGAGAAAAAGGAAGUGUUACUUGAUCCGAGACGUCAACUCUGAUUUCUCUCCACUGAGAAUGCCAGGCCUGCUGAGCUUUUCCAGCAAUUUCUGUUUUGGUUUCUGAAGGUAACUGUAUCCAGUUAUUUAUCCAUGUGAAAAAACAAGAGGGGCUGAAUACUCCUCUGCUGCUCCAUAUUUAUGUUUUCAUAAGUAAUUGCAUGCAUCACCUUAUUUUCAAUACCUGCUUGAUUUGUUUAGGUUAUUUUAAGCAGAACUGACUCGUUGCAUCAUUGUGACUUAAUAUCUAAUGAUAGAGUAGAAUAGGUAGAACCAUGUAUGACAGAAAUUUAAGCUACAGGAUUUGGCACAUGACCAGUAAAGAUCGUUCAGAGUAGUUAGACAAGGGCUAAUGUUGGACUUGAGCAAGUAGUGAGCAGAUUUGUGUAAUUAAAAGUCAGUACAUACGUAGAAAGUGUUAAGAAAGGGAAAGAUAGAGUGCAGAAUCUACUGAAAAAUUACUUACAAAUUCACUGUUGUUACCAGAUGGACAAUGUUCAACUAUUAUUUGUUUCUCCUUCAAGAAUUAGAGGCUAGUUCCAGCACCCUGUAGGAAAUUGGAUUUAGUAUCGAAUAGUGUGUUGCCUAUUGAGAUGCAUUAUAUGUACAGAUCCAAUAGGAGAAAUAGUCGUUGAGGCUAAUAGCUAAUAGAAAUUCAUCAGAAAGAGUGCAAGGUUAAAAAAAAUUACCUUCAAAACUAAUAACUUUUAAAAAUUCGUAUGAUGUUUUAAUGUAAUUAAUACUGUCUAAUUAUUAAGCUUGCAAUUGCCUGAAGUAGUAGGGAAGUUUUAUAAAUACAUCAUUACAUUUUUAACUAAUUUUCUGCUCAAAUGUAAUUGGUGACACUAUGUGAGCUGAAGAUGUACAAGUAUUAUAAGUAGGUCUUUAGUUCCUGUGUUGAUAUGCUUUUUAAGAAGCUUUUUGAUUUCAGAUUAGAAGAAUGGUACCAUUCCUGUACAUAAUGGUAAAAGUGUGGAGAAGAAUACUUAAUAUUUAUUGUAAAUCAUAUUGCAAAAUAAUAACAGACACUUCAUGGAAAAAAAACCAAAGAUCUGCAAAUGCUGGAAACAAAAACUGGCGUUGCUGGAAAAAUUCAGAAGUCUGGCAGCAUCCGUGGAGAGAAAGGACAUCUGAAGAAGACUCACUAGACCCAAAAUGCUGAAACUCUGGGGUGUUUACUGGAAAUGUAGCAAUGGGUGCCCCUGGUCAACACGAGGGAAAAUUAAAACCAUCCAAGAAACAGCAUCCCAUGCCAGUGGGAACAUGGAACUGAAGUUGGCCUGUGUAGCAGUGGUUUCCACUUUGUUUAUUGAAGCACAACUUCAUAUUAGCAUUUCUGGGACUUCCUCCUCAACAAGUGCUUAGAUAUGAUCAAGAAAUGUCGUCACUUAAUCAAAGAAGAAUCAUUGUGAGCAUCACUAAAUUACCCUUACUGAAGAUGAUGAAGUGGAGCAAUCAUUUUUUAAUCUGGUUGAUAGUACUUCAUCUUAUGCAGCAGGAACCAAUGAUGUGCACUGUCUCCAAAGCUUUAAUGCAUAAAAUGUGGUGAAAAGGAUUUUUAUGUUGGAAUGUAGCUUCAUUAAAUAAUAGUUUUUUCACCUGAGUAUUUUUUCCUUCAACUUCUCAGCAAAAUAAAAAUAGUUAUGAUCAUUGGAUUCCACAAUAGUAAGCAAAAACUGCUCUACUGUGGUUUUAAAGUAAGUUUGUCUAAGGUGCAGUGUUAACCUCCUUUUGUAAUGUGGUUAUCAAUCAUUUUUGUCUGCUAACAUCUCAGUUAUUUUUUCUGCAUUCAAAUUACUGUAACAUGCCUGCAUUAUUGCUACUGUUUUCGCGUGGAAGAAGCUAUGGGAUCAGAAUCUUAAAUGUCUGAAAGCAUGAUUUUUUUUGUCUCAAGUUGCAUUAUAUUUUAAACUAUGAACCUGCAUUUGAGUCAAGCCAAAUGACGCCAGAAGAUACUUAGUUAAGCUAUGAAUGACUGGAAAUGAAUUAAAGCAGUGCUUCUGUUCCACAGUAAGAUGGUGUCCUUAUCAGCCUCUACAAGAUCAAUUUAUAAAUGUGAAGAAAACAUGUUUUCAUGCAAGUUUUGGAGUUAAAGUUCAAGAUAGUUUUAAGAUGUUCUGUUGAGCACUAGAUUCUGACUGGUACUUUGGGUUUAAGAUUAUGUAAAUGAAAAUGUCAGAUACUGUUUUGUUUUCACAGGAUUGAAGUAACAGGAAGAACAAGGCAUUUUAAUAAAGUAUGUGAGGGGAACCAAACAAUGCCAAAAUGUGGUAUGGCACAAAAGAGAUAAAAUUCUAUCUAUUUAUAAUUCCAUUGUGAGAUUUAAAAUGUUAUAAAACUGACCCGCCCCCAUAUUUGUGGCCAUUGUGUACAAAUAUCAAUUUAAGCAUUUAAGGGAUUGUUCAUUCCACUUCCCUGAACCACUCCUUUGACAUUAAUCUCUACUUGAGUUGAACUAAAAUGAAUUCCAAAUGGUUAAAACCAAUCUCUGCUUUUGUACUAGUGUCAACAUUUAAAAAUUCUUUGCUUCCUUACAGAGGCAUUGCCACUAUGCAACCUUUUAGAGCCAAAAGAGCAAAAUCAUGUGGAGAAUGGUAUCUUUCGUGACCAUGAUCAGUAUUGUUCUAUGGUUUCCUGACACAAAAUUGAUUUUGUAAAGGAGACAGUUAGCAACAAACUGCCUCAAGAAUAAAAUGUUCCAUCAUGCAGUAUGCACCAUAUAUCACUGUCAAGCCACAACAUCUUUUGCAUCCAAGCAAAUAACUGAGCUUGAAUAAAUGGCAGCUCUGAGUUGUAAUCAGCGCACAAUGUUGAUGUAAUUCUACUUCUGGGAUAUAGGGAUUCUUUGAUAAAUUUAAUACGUGCUAUUUUAUGCAACAGCAGAAUUGUUGGACAGUUCUUUGAUUCAGCAAACAAAUUUAAUUGCUAAGUCACACUGAACAAGCUGUCAUGCCAUAAAAUGGCAUUUGAAGCAAAAGAGUGGCUCAGUGAAGUGAUAUUAAGUAUUCAAAUGAUGUGCAAAAUAACUAAGCAGCAGUGUUUUUAAUCUAACUUGCCUGCUUAAGUAACUUGAGGAAUUUAACGAUCGACAAACAGCUAACCUAUUUCGUAGAAAUUUUUUUAAGUUAUUCAUGACAGCUUGAUUCUGUUUUGAUUAACUAAUAAUCUCAUUAAAAGUGCACUAAUGGGCAGGGGGAGUAGCUGCUUCACCUAAUUCACAAUCUGAAUAUUAUUUUAUUGUUGUAAAAUUAAAUUUCAAAAAAUCAUUUUAGUCUGGGUUGGGGCUGUGAAUGCUGUGUAGACACUAAGCAGGGCUUAUUGGUGUAUAUCUUGUUCCAAAUUUUAGACAUUUAUGAUGGUUAGUGUUGGAUCUAAUAUGUACUGAUGGGUGUUUAUUACUUUACCAGUUCUGCAUUGAAGUACUUGAAAGACCUAUUUCUCUGUGUAUAAAGUUGUAGUGUCAUGAUCAAGUGUUGAAACUGGACAUAACAUGGUACCAAACACUAGGAUUAUUGUGCAAAAACUAGACUGACCUCAUAACAAUACAAGUUUGUAAAUAUACUUGGGCUUCCAGUCUGUUUUUGUUACUACUUUUUACCAUUAUUUGUACAAUUAGAAAUCAGUGAAUAAACAGAUCUGAGGAAA